This 492-nucleotide ribosomal RNA is filed under the name uncultured bacterium. Its description in RNAcentral is "partial 16S ribosomal RNA". It matches the Rfam family "Bacterial small subunit ribosomal RNA", at positions 29 to 507 of the family's 1533-position model. The record is from RNAcentral.
AGUGAACGCUGGCGGUAGGCCUAACACAUGCAAGUCGAACGGCAGCACAGUAAGAGCUUGCUCUUACGGGUGGCGAGUGGCGGACGGGUGAGGAAUACAUCGGAAUCUACUUUUUCGUGGGGGAUAACGUAGGGAAACUUACGCUAAUACCGCAUACGACCUACGGGUGAAAGCAGGGGAUCUUCGGACCUUGCGCGAUUGAAUGAGCCGAUGUCGGAUUAGCUAGUUGGCGGGGUAAAGGCCCACCAAGGCGACGAUCCGUAGCUGGUCUGAGAGGAUGAUCAGACACACAGGAAGUGAGAGAAGGUCAAUACUCCUACGGGAGGGAGCAGUGGGGAAUAUGGGACAAUGGGCGCAAGCCUGAUCCACCCAUACCGCGUGGGUGAAGAAGGCCUUCGGGUUGUAAAGCCCUUUUGUUGGGAAAGAAAAGCAGCAGGUUAAUACCCCGCUGUUCUGACGGUACCCAAAGAAUAAGCACCGGCUAACUUCGUG